UGUGGUUAAUUCGAUGCAACGCGAAGAACCUUACCUGGUCUUGACAUCCCGGAGACCCUUAGGAAACUAGGGGUGCUUCCAUCUGGAAGAAUCUGGAGACAGGUGCUGCAUGGCUGUCGUCAGCUCGUGUCGUGAGAUGUUGGGUUAAGUCCCGCAACGAGCGCAACCCUUGCCUUUAGUUGCCAGCAGUUCGGCUGGGCACUCUAAAGGGACUGCCGGUGUUAAACCGGAGGAAGGUGGGGAUGACGUCAAGUCCUCAUGGCCUUUAUGACCAGGGCUACACACGUACUACAAUGGCCGAUACAAAGGGCAGCGACACUGCGAGGUGAAGCCAAUCCCGUAAAAUCGGUCUCAGUCCGGAUUGGAGUCUGCAACUCGACUCCAUGAAGUUGGAAUCGCUAGUAAUCGUGAAUCAGAAUGUCACGGUGAAUACGUUCCCGGGCCUU
Molecule: ribosomal RNA, 446 nt
Filed under: uncultured Desulfobulbus sp.
Lineage: Bacteria; Pseudomonadati; Thermodesulfobacteriota; Desulfobulbia; Desulfobulbales; Desulfobulbaceae
Description: bacterial SSU rRNA
Rfam family: Bacterial small subunit ribosomal RNA
Source: RNAcentral